This 497-nucleotide ribosomal RNA is filed under the name uncultured bacterium. RNAcentral describes it as "partial 16S ribosomal RNA". It matches the Rfam family "Bacterial small subunit ribosomal RNA", at positions 28 to 507 of the family's 1533-position model. The record is from RNAcentral.
GAUGAACGCUGGCGGCGUGCCUAAUACAUGCAAGUCGAGCGAACGGACGAGAAGCUUGCUUUUCUGAUGUUAGCGGCGGACGGGUGAGUAACAUGUGGAUAACCUACCUAUCAGACUGGGAUAACUACGGGAAACCGGAGCUAAUACCGUAUAAUAUUUUACACCGCAUGGUUCAAAGGUGAAAUACGGUCUUGCGGUCACUUAUAGAUGGAUCCGCGCUGCAUUAGCUAGUUGGUAAGGUAACGGCUUAUCAAGGCAACGAUGCAUAGCCGACCUGAGCGGGUGGUCGGCCACACUGGAACUGAGACACGGUCCAGACUCCUGCGGGAGGCAGCAGUAGGGAAUCUUACGCAAUGGGCGAAAGCCUGACGGAGCAACGCCGCGUGAGUGAUGAAGGUCCUCGGAUCGUAAAACUCUGUUAUUAGGGAAGAACCUAUGUGUAAGUAACUGUGCACAUAUUGACGGUACCUAGUCAGAAAGCCACGGCUAACUACGUG